GAGUUUCAGUCUGCGAAUGUAACAGACAUACGUCCACAAUUUAUCCUACCAAUCUAAUACUAUCUAACCAAAUCAAAUUUCCUCUAAAGUAUCGAAAUCAAUAAUAGGAGUUCAACUUCCCUAGUCAGCCGAAGAUACUGACCCAAAAGACCCAGGAUUGUGUCAAGAUCGACAGUUGAAGGAUGAAGGAGAAAUAGGAGAACGAAACGCCGACAAAGCUGAGAAGGAAAGUCGGUGGUGGUCGAGUGGCGUGCUGCGAGAUACUCGAGCCCACGACAAAAGUUUCAGUUGCUGGGCUCGUCGACGUUUUUCGGGAGGGAGUUUAAUCCAUUGCGAGGCAUUACGAGACACUUUGCAAACCUGGAAUCGUUUUGUCGUUUAAAUCAGUGGCUUCCAAGCUCUUCGGGGUAGCAAGAUAGGUGUCUAUUCAUCAAAAGCAUCGGCGAUUCGAAAAACGAGCCAGGACUUUAUAUCGAUAUAAUAAACGUUCUACGAUGCUAGCUGAUUUCGUCCUACACUUUUUAUCGAGCUGCAACAGCGUUUCAUUGUUUUCCCUCCGCAGAAGGCGCGGCUACGUGAGUCAAGAAAGAAAACGACAGGAGGAAUGGAAUAAUUUCUUCAUUGUCCUCGUGAACGUUGAAUUCCAGAUUUAUUAACCGCGUUUCUGCGAUGAGUCGUUCGUGCUCAGCCAGAACGGGGAGGGAUCGGUUGUAAGAAUAACGAUUUAAUGGCGACGAUUUAGAUUCUAAUCUAAAUAGCCUGCCAAGGCUUCUCUGAUCUACCAUUUAAAGGAAAUGAUUUUUUUUUUUAACACCAACUGUGGAGGGAAAAGGUCGAACAAUUGUUCCAAUCUCAAAUUGAAAACUUGUACGAAGAUUUCUGUUGUUAACAAAUAUUGGAUCAUCGAAUCUAACCAACUACUUUUGUAAUUAUUAUAAAAGCGAACAAUUGUAUCAGAGAGUUCAAGGAGGCCAAAAAUAAAGAAAAACGUGAAAUAAUGAAAAAUGUUCCAGUAGAAGGAAAACCUGAUCGAGAGCUCUCGUAAUACUCGAGAACAAAAUUUUCGUGGGCUGAAUCUCAAUGAUCGCGAGAGGCCUUGG
Molecule: long non-coding RNA, 1100 nt
Organism: Hylaeus volcanicus
Lineage: Eukaryota; Metazoa; Arthropoda; Insecta; Hymenoptera; Colletidae
Exons: 3
Source: RefSeq, a predicted model, not a curated record